This 255-nucleotide ribosomal RNA is filed under the name uncultured bacterium. RNAcentral describes it as "partial 16S ribosomal RNA". It matches the Rfam family "Bacterial small subunit ribosomal RNA", at positions 524 to 776 of the family's 1533-position model. The record is from RNAcentral.
UACGAAGGGGGCUAGCGUUGCUCGGAAUCACUGGGCGUAAAGGGCGCGUAGGCGGCCGAUUAAGUCGGGGGUGAAAGCCUGUGGCUCAACCACAGAAUUGCCUUCGAUACUGGUUGGCUUGAGACCGGAAGAGGACAGCGGAACUGCGAGUGUAGAGGUGAAAUUCGUAGAUAUUCGCAAGAACACCAGUGGCGAAGGCGGCUGUCUGGUCCGGUUCUGACGCUGAGGCGCGAAAAGCGUGGGGGAGCAAACAGG